ACCUCCCCUUCCCUCCCCCGCUCUUGGAGUGAAGACCAUCGCCAUGUGCGGCCUGCUGCCACCCAUGGUGUUGCUCCAGGACCUUCCUUCUAACAUCAGGAAGAAGUCAAGAGAUUCAAAGCAUGAGAAAGAUUUGAUGUGCUAUCUCUGGUUUGAAGAUGAAGGAGGCCCCAGCAAGGACUGAGCAAAGUGUCUAGGAGGUGAAACUAGCCCCUAGCUGAAAGUCAGCAUGGAAACAGGAACCUCAGUCCUCCAAAGGCAAGGAACUGUAUUGUGCCACCAAGAAUAAGCCUGGAACUGUUUUUUAAAUGCAAGAUCAUGUCAUCUAUUAGGUAGACCUGAGAGAUGGUGAGGUUGAGGAACCUGCCCCAAAUCACAUAAUUAUUAAAUGACUACCCACAAUGUCAAUGACUCCAGGCACUGCCCUCAGCAAAGCAAAAGGUCCCUGCAUUCCCACCAGCACGCUUCUGCCCUUUUAUGAAAAUGACCAACUGUUCUCCAGUCCAAUAAAAAGGCCCUGCUGUUUGACAAAGAGGCCAUUUUGGGCGGACACGUACCUGGUGGUGGGCGUGCAGCUGGGACCUCUGAGUGGGUGUGAAUAAUCUUUCUGUGGGUUGAGUUGUACCCAAGAACAAAGUAAGACCUGAGCCUCAGAAUGCAGCCUCUGUACUCUCUUUUAAAGAGUUUUGUUUAUCUUUAGGUUAAAUAACAUUCUAGAAUAUGUAAGCAAAAUCCCUGAGGUACACGGUGUAGUAGAACAGAUUGCACAAUAGUGAAGCUUGUGUUAGGCAUGCUGUAUACAUGGUGCUCAAUGGACAUUCCAGAAUCAUAUACA
Bubalus bubalis (water buffalo) is the source of this 835-nucleotide long non-coding RNA. RefSeq lists it as uncharacterized. The transcript has 4 exons. NCBI's taxonomy places the organism in Eukaryota, Metazoa, Chordata, Mammalia, Artiodactyla, Bovidae. The record is from RefSeq and is a predicted model, not a curated record.